CGCCUGGAACGGUGAGUGGAUGAAAGCUCCGGCGGCAUAGGAUGGGCCUGCGGCGUAUCAGGUUGUAGGGGGUGUAAUGUACCCUCUAGCCCUCUACGCGUACGGGUGUUGGGAGACAUAGCCCGGAGAUGGAUUCUGAGACACGAAUCCAGACCCUACGGGGUGCAGCAGGCGCGAAAACUUGGCAAUGCGAGAAAUCGUGACCAGGGAACUCCAAGUGCAUCGGGUAAGACCGGUGCUUUUCUUGACUCUAAAUAGGUCUUGGAAUAAGGGGUGGGUAAGGACGGUGCCAGCCGCCGCGGUAAUACCGGCGCCUCAAGUGGUAGUCGCUUUUAUUGGGCCUAAAACGUCCGUAGCCGGUCUGAUACAUUCGUGGGUAAAUCAACCAGCUCAACUGGUUGAAUUCUGCGAGGACGGUCAGACUUGGGACCGGGAGAGGUGUGGGGUACGCUCAGGGUAGGGGUAAAAUCCUGUCAUCCUGAGCGGACCACCUGUUGCGAAGGCGCCACACUAGAACGGAUCCGACGGUCAGGGACGAAGCCUAGGGGCACGAACCGGAUUAGAUACCCGGGUAGUCCUAGGUGUAAACGCUGUGGACUUGAUGUUGGGGGUGCUCCGAGCACUCUCAGUGUCGAAGCGAAGGUGAUAAGUCCACUGCCUGGGAAGUACGGUCGCAAGGCUGAAACUUAAAGGAAUUGGCGGGGGAGCACCGCAACCUGAGGAUUGUGCGGUUUAAUUGGACUCAACGCCGGGA
Molecule: ribosomal RNA, 754 nt
Filed under: uncultured Candidatus Poseidoniales archaeon
Lineage: Archaea; Methanobacteriati; Thermoplasmatota; Candidatus Poseidoniia; Candidatus Poseidoniales
Description: bacterial SSU rRNA
Rfam family: Archaeal small subunit ribosomal RNA
Source: RNAcentral